RNAcentral lists this transfer RNA (72 nucleotides) under Camelus ferus (Wild Bactrian camel). It matches the Rfam family "tRNA". Rfam says of the family: Transfer RNA (tRNA) molecules are approximately 80 nucleotides in length. Their secondary structure includes four short double-helical elements and three loops (D, anti-codon, and T loops). Lineage: Eukaryota; Metazoa; Chordata; Mammalia; Artiodactyla; Camelidae. The record is from Rfam by way of RNAcentral.
GGAGGUACAGCUGAGUGGUAGAGUAUGUACUUAGCAUGCACGAGGUCCUGGGUUCAAUCCCUAGUAACUUCU